UACGAAGGGGGCUAGCGUUGCUCGGAAUCACUGGGCGUAAAGCGCACGUAGGCGGCUUGUUAAGUCAGGGGUGAAAUCCUGGAGCUCAACUCCAGAACUGCCUUUGAUACUGGCGAGCUUGAGUUCGGGAGAGGUGAGUGGAACUGCGAGUGUAGAGGUGAAAUUCGUAGAUAUUCGCAAGAACACCAAUGGCGAAGGCAGCUCGCUGGGACGUGACUGACGCUGAGACGCGAAAGCGUGGGGAGCAAACAGG
This 253-nucleotide ribosomal RNA is filed under the name uncultured bacterium. RNAcentral's name for it is "partial 16S ribosomal RNA". It matches the Rfam family "Bacterial small subunit ribosomal RNA", at positions 524 to 776 of the family's 1533-position model. The record is from RNAcentral.